UCGGUGCGCGCCGGUCUAAGUUCCUUGGAACGGGGCGUCAUAGAGGGUGAGAAUCCCGUAUGUGACCGGUGACCAAGCCCAUGUGAAGCUCCUUCGACGAGUCGAGUUGUUUGGGAAUGCAGCUCAAAAUGGGUGGUAAAUUUCAUCUAAAGCUAAAUACUGGCCAGAGACCGAUAGCGCACAAGUAGAGUGAUCGAAAGAUGAAAAGCACUUUGGAAAGAGAGUCAAAAAGUACGUGAAAUUGUUGAAAGGGAAGCGCUUGCAACCAGACCUGUCCGCGGGUGAUCAGCCGUCCUUUUGGGCGGUGUACUCGCCCGCGAUCAGGCCAGCAUCGGUUCGGGCAGCCGGAUAAAGGCCUUGGGAACGUAGCUCCUCUUCGGGGGAGUGUUAUAGCCCUCGGUGCAAUGCGGCCCGCCGGGACCGAGGACCGCGCUUCGGCUAGGAUGCUGGCAUAAUGGUUGUAAGCGGCCCGUCUUGAAACACGGACCAAGGAGUCUAACAUCUAUGCGAGUGUUUGGGUGUCAAACCCAUGCGCGUAAUGAAAGUGAACGGAGGUGGGAACCCUGAAGGGCGCACCAUCGACCGAUCCAGAUGUCUUCGGAUGGAUUUGAGUACGAGCAUAGCUGUUGGGACCCGAAAGAUGGUGAACUAUGCCUGAAUAGGGUGAAGCCAGAGGAAACUCUGGUGGAGGCUCGCAGCGGUUCUGACGUGCAAAUCGAUCGUCAAAUUUGGGUAUAGGGGCGAAAGACUAAUCGAACCAUU
RNAcentral lists this ribosomal RNA (762 nucleotides) under Rufoplaca tristiuscula. RNAcentral's name for it is "LSU rRNA". It matches the Rfam family "Eukaryotic large subunit ribosomal RNA", at positions 165 to 944 of the family's 3401-position model. Lineage: Eukaryota; Fungi; Ascomycota; Lecanoromycetes; Teloschistales; Teloschistaceae. The record is from RNAcentral.